Mesocricetus auratus (golden hamster) is the source of this 3193-nucleotide long non-coding RNA. RefSeq lists it as uncharacterized. The transcript is spliced from 2 exons. Lineage: Eukaryota; Metazoa; Chordata; Mammalia; Rodentia; Cricetidae. The record is from RefSeq and is a predicted model, not a curated record.
UGGCAGGACCUGGCAGGACAAGAGAAUUAAGCAACAGAUCAUUGCACAUGUUUUCUCUGUCUGAGGUUAGCGCGUACAAAUGGCUAACACACAAAAAGGGAUCUUUUCUUCUGGUUCUGCUCAGCACAGUUGUAAAUAGAUUUCUUCGGCAAAUAAUCCAGAUUCUGGCUAGGCUCAGCCUCUCCACCCCAUCUUUAAUAUGUCAAUUAAAGAGAUCAGUGCCUUGAUCAGUUGUCAUCAGAGGCUUGCUCUGACAGCAGAUGGGAGUGGCAACAAAGACCCUCAGCCACACAUUCUUUGGAGAGUCUAAAUUGAAGAUACCAUCCUGUCCCUCCCCUACGAGAUCAUGGAACCCUGCAGAAGAGGAGGAGUCAGAGAGGAUGGAGGACCCCAGGACAAGGCCAAUCAGAUUGACUAAGCAGGACACUGGGCUCACAGAGACUGAAGCAGCAACCCAGGGUCUGCAUGGGUUAGGACUCUGCAUGUUACACUGUUAGGUUUAUGUUUUGUGACAAAGGGUGUGUCUCUGAUUUUUUGCCUCCUAUUGGGUUGCACUGUUCAGCCUCAAUAUGAGGACUUUUGCCUUGUUUUAUUGUAUCCUGUUUUUCUUGUUUGGCUGUGGACUCUUACAGGCCUGCUCUUUUCUGUAGAGAAAACCGAUGGGAAGUUGUUCUGGGGGAGAGGGAAGGUGGGGAAAUUCGGAGGAACAGAGGGAAGGAAAACUGUGGUAGGGAUGUAUUGUAUGAGAGAGAAGAAUCUGUUUUUAAUAAAAAUUCAUUUAAAAGAUAAGUAAUAGUGAGAAAGAGAAAGGUAGAUUUAUUAACGUGUGACCUCAUAGGGAAGCUCUAAGGGGCUCUAGUGGUCAGAUCAAGAGCUGUUGCUACUCUCGGAGAGGAUCCAAGUUCAGUUCCCAAGGGUCUACAUAGAAGCUCAUAACCAUCUGUGACUCCAGUUCCAGAAGAUUCAAUGCCCGUUUCUGACUGUCGUGGGUAUUGCGUGUACAUGGAGCACAGACACACACAGGCAAAACACUCAUGUACACAUAUACAUGUGUAUGUUUAAAUAAAUAGAUACAUUUGUGUGUGUGUUUUAAAAUGAAAGAAAGCCUCUAAUUUAGCCUCUGAUUUGUCUUACAAUUUUCAGAGGUUUUGAGUUUGUGACCACCACAGCAGGGAGCAUGGCAGCAAGCAGGCAGACAUGUCACAGGAGCAAGAGCUGAAAACUUAUAUCUUUAUCCACAAUCGUGAGGCAGAGAGAGCUAACUAGGAAUGGCUGGGCUUUUGAUUUGAUUGCUGGUGUUUUGUUUUGUUUUCUUUUCCUUUCUGAGACAGGUUUUCACUGUGUACCCCAGCUGUCCUGAAGCUUGCUCUGUAGACCAGGCUGGCCUUGAACUCAGAUGCCUGCCUGCUUCUCGUCUUAAGUACUGGUAUUAAAGCAUGUGCCACCACUGCCCAACGGGCCUGGGCUUUUGAAAUAUCUUCUCCAAUAAAGCCACACCUCCUAAUCUUUCCCAGAGAGUUUCCUAACCGGGGAGCAAGCAUUCAAAUACACGAGCCUGUGGACAUUCUCAGUCAAGCAGCACUGAGGUAGAGGAGGAUAGACACAGGGCAAGCUUCACGGGUUGACAUCUGGUGACUAGCCCCAAUCUGAGCUGCCUGAGAGCCCUCAGCAUCUUGUUAGCUCACCAGAUGCCAUUAUUACUUUGAAUCAUCAAAGCUCUAUGUCAGGCAAGGGGAAAGACCAUGUGUGGCAUAUAAUUUCUAUCCUCCCAAUAAGAUGCCACCAUUGUAAAUGACUCACAAUGAUUUUGUUCUUGCUGGGAUGUCCUGCGUACUUCCUUUUGUAUUUUCACACAUGAGGAAGCCACUCCAAAGCUUUGUGUCAUGAGGUGUCCAGCCAGUGUCUCAUGUCUCCUUCCUCUUUAGUCCUUGCCCUGUACUUCUCUCUGUACAUUUCCCUUUUAUCGAGCAUAGAUUCUCUUCUCAUACUAUUAUCUUGAUCAUAGUUCCUGUCCCCUCACACCUCCCAGUUCCUUCCAUCCUCACUUUCCUUAUGGUUCAUUCCCUCUCUGCCUCUCAUUUAAAAAGAAAAGGCUUCUAAGAGAUGACAACCCAACAUAAGAAAGUAAAAUGUAAGAUGAAGCAAAAACGAUCAUAUGAAAGGUGGACACAGAAGGAAAGCAGUCCCAAGAACAGGCAACAGUGUCAGAGAACCAUUUAUUCUUACAGUCAGGAGUUCUACAAAAAUAUACUAAGCUAAAAGCUAUAAUAUAUACACAGAGGAUCUGCUCCAAACCCAAGAAGGGCCUGUGAUUGCUGCUUCAGUAUUUAUAAGCUCAUAUGUGCCUUACUUAAUUGAUUCAGUAGAACAUGCUCUCCCAGUGUUGUUUAUCCCCUCUGGCAUUUACAGUCUUUCUGCCUCCUUUUCUGUGGGAUUCCCUGGGCUCUAGGGGGAGGAAUAUGAUUGAGAAAGCAAGACACAUGUGUAAUUAGGUAGUCCUGGUCAAGAAGUGGUCCUGCCAUCAUUAGCCCCCCCUGUUAAAUAAACUCUUGGUGGCAAUCUAGUGACUGUCAUCACUAUAGUGGGUUAACCUUAUUUCUGGAGGAUAAUGACUUCUGUCUCUUUUCUUGCCCUCAUGGAUAAUUACCCUUCUCUGAGAGGGAAUGGUUGUAUGUCCCCUGAGAUUUAUUCCUCCUGGAGUCCAAGGUGACUGAAAGUUUUGAACAAUUUAGUUUUGUGUCUUCAACCUUGAAGGAAGAUAAGAGAGGUUAGGUAUGCAGAGUAAAGCAGGAGUCUGAGCCAAAGCAAAGACAACAGAAACAGAAGGAAGCCUACAGCCAGACUCUUAUCCUGCUUUUACUGCCUAUGGGCCAAAGUGAGGAGACAAUGGUUUUCAGCAAAAACAAAACAAAACAACAACAAAAAACAGCUUUUAACUGUGGUGUUAAGUGAUAUUGAAAAGUGAUGAAAUUAUACUUUAUAUAUUAAUAACAGUAAUAAUAUGAUAGACAAGUAUAGUAUAGAACUUUGGCGAUAGAAGCAGGAAGAUCAUGGGUGUAGUCAGCCUAGACUACAACGAGGCCGUGCCUUCAAAAAAAAGGAAGAAAGCAAGCAAAAAGCAUAAGUUCAUGUUAGAGUAAGACCACUUUAUUUUGUAUGACAAUAAAUGCUUAUUAAAACACUUUAAAAUCUC